RNAcentral lists this non-coding RNA (51 nucleotides) under Odoribacter laneus. The record is from RNAcentral. Lineage: Bacteria; Pseudomonadati; Bacteroidota; Bacteroidia; Bacteroidales; Odoribacteraceae.
AAUUGUGGAAGGAUUUGGCUGAUUGCAACCACGGGAAAAAAUUGCUAAAAC